CAACUGGAAAACAUUUGGAUUUUCACUGAAAUGAGUGAAAACAUUUCAGAGAACCUUGGGACUCCGCUGGUGGGCGGAGCCAAAGUGGUGAUAAAAUCAGAAUCAGACGUUGCUGAGAGGGACGGUCAUCUCAGUGGUUAGCGUUAGCUCUGCUUCUACGUGCACAGCACAUGACCAUGGCGGCCAUCUUGAAUUUUUAAGCAUUAAGAAAAAAACCUAACGAUAUGUUUUUGGCCGGACGCAUUCAUCUGCAUCCGACUGCAGCUGGAAAUAUUCAGCAGCCGGAUCUCAAGCUGCCGCCGGCGGCCAUGUUUGACUGCUGGCAGCGGCGGCCAUGUUUGACUUUCCUCAGCUCUUAAUGAUCGUCCA
Molecule: long non-coding RNA, 369 nt
Organism: Gambusia affinis (western mosquitofish)
Lineage: Eukaryota; Metazoa; Chordata; Actinopteri; Cyprinodontiformes; Poeciliidae
Exons: 3
Source: RefSeq, a predicted model, not a curated record